GCUGUAUAAUGAUUCCAUGCGUGUCAGCUGACUCUGUAAACCCUCAUUAUGGCGUUGCUCUAGCUGGUGUUCUGCUAGCUUCAGUGCUCAGUGCAGCAUGGGUCCAGAGAUAGUCACUACUAGACUACAUUCCUGU
Morone saxatilis (striped sea-bass) is the source of this 136-nucleotide small nucleolar RNA. RefSeq annotates it as small nucleolar RNA SNORD10. The transcript has a single exon. Lineage: Eukaryota; Metazoa; Chordata; Actinopteri; Moronidae. The record is from RefSeq and is a predicted model, not a curated record.